ACUCCACGGGAGGCAGCAGUGGGGAAUUUUGGACGAGGGCGAAAGCCUGAUCCAGCCAUGCCGCGUGCAGGAUGAAGGCCUUCGGGUUGUAAACUGCUUUUGUACGGAACGAAAAGACUCUGGUUAAUACCUGGGGUCCAUGACGGUACCGUAAGAAUAAGCACCGGCUAACUACGUGCCAGCAGCCGCGGUAAUACGUAGGGUGCAAGCGUUAAUCGGAAUUACUGGGCGUAAAGCGUGCGCAGGCGGUUAUAUAAGACAGAUGUGAAAUCCCCGGGCUCAACCUGGGAACUGCAUUUGUGACUGUAUAGCUAGAGUACGGCAGAGGGGGAUGGAAUUCCGCGUGUAGCAGUGAAAUGCGUAGAUAUGCGGAGGAACACCGAUGGCGAAGGCAAUCCCCUGGGCCUGUACUGACGCUCAUGCACGAAAGCGUGGGGAGCAAACAGGAUUAGAUACCCUGGUAGUCCACGCCCUAAACGAUGUCAACUGGUUGUUGGGUCUUCACUGACUCAGUAACGAAGCUAACGCGUGAAGUUGACCGCCUGGGGAGUACGGCCGCAAGGUUGAAACUCAAAUGAAUUGACGGA
This 587-nucleotide ribosomal RNA is filed under the name uncultured Acidovorax sp. RNAcentral's name for it is "bacterial SSU rRNA". It matches the Rfam family "Bacterial small subunit ribosomal RNA", at positions 335 to 917 of the family's 1533-position model. The record is from RNAcentral. Lineage: Bacteria; Pseudomonadati; Pseudomonadota; Betaproteobacteria; Burkholderiales; Comamonadaceae.